This 63-nucleotide microRNA precursor is filed under the name Ixodes scapularis (black-legged tick). RNAcentral describes it as "Isc-Mir-275_pre stem-loop". Lineage: Eukaryota; Metazoa; Arthropoda; Arachnida; Ixodida; Ixodidae. The record is from RNAcentral.
ACGUGCUGCAUCAGGUGCUUGUGACUACGCGUUCGAAAGUCAGGUACCUGAAGUAGCGCGCGG